CAUGCAGUCGAACGGAAGGCCCUGCUUUUGUGGGGUGCUCGGGUGGCGAACGGGUGAGUAACACGUGAGUAACCUGCCCUUGACUUUGGGAUAACUUCAGGAAACUGGGGCUAAUACCGGAUAGGAGCUCCUGCUGCAUGGUGGGGGUUGGAAAGUUUCGGCGGUUGGGGAUGGACUCGCGGCUUAUCAGCUUGUUGGUGGGGUAGUGGCUUACCAAGGCUUUGACGGGUAGCCGGCCUGAGAGGGUGACCGGCCACAUUGGGACUGAGAUACGGCCCAGACUCCUACGGGAGGCAGCAGUGGGGAAUAUUGCACAAUGGGCGGAAGCCUGAUGCAGCAACGCCGCGUGCGGGAUGACGGCCUUCGGGUUGUAAACCGCUUUCGCCUGUGACGAAGCGUGAGUGACGGUAAUGGGUAAAGAAGCACCGGCUAACUACGUGCCAGCAGCCGCGGUGAUACGUAGGGUGCGAGCGUUGUCCGGAUUUAUUGGGCGUAAAGGGCUCGUAGGUGGUUGAUCGCGUCGGAAGUGUAAUCUUGGGGCUUAACCCUGAGCGUGCUUUCGAUACGGGUUGACUUGAGGAAGGUAGGGGAGAAUGGAAUUCCUGGUGGAGCGGUGGAAUGCGCAGAUAUCAGGAGGAACACCAGUGGCGAAGGCGGUUCUCUGGGCCUUUCCUGACGCUGAGGAGCGAAAGCGUGGGGGCGAACAGGCUUAGAUACCCUGGUAGUCCACGCUGUAAACGGUGGGUACUAGGUGUGGGGUCCAUUCCACGGGUUCCGUGCCGUAGCUAACGCUUUAAGUACCCCGCCUGGGGAGUACGGCCGCAAGGCUAAAACUCAAAGGAAUUGACGGGGCCCCGCACAAGCGGCGGAGCAUGCGGAUUAAUUCGAUGCAACGCGUAGAACCUUACCUGGGUUUGACAUGGAUCGGG
RNAcentral lists this ribosomal RNA (929 nucleotides) under uncultured bacterium. Its description in RNAcentral is "bacterial SSU rRNA". It matches the Rfam family "Bacterial small subunit ribosomal RNA", at positions 54 to 995 of the family's 1533-position model. The record is from RNAcentral.